AUAAACCUCCCUUUGCAUGUUGAAAGGGAAGCCCGGUGAAAAUCCGGCGCGGGGCCGCCACCGUGAGUGGGGACGAAAUUCACAAUAUACCACUGGCCUAAUUUUGGCUGGGAAGGUGUGAAGAGUAGGAUGAUCCACGAGUCGGGAGACCUAACAUGCAAAGGAAGGGAGC
Molecule: non-coding RNA, 172 nt
Filed under: Fervidobacterium nodosum
Lineage: Bacteria; Thermotogati; Thermotogota; Thermotogae; Thermotogales; Fervidobacteriaceae
Also listed under: 1 other name
Source: RNAcentral